AGAGUUUGAUCCUGGCUCAGAACGAACGCUGGCGGCGUGCUUAACACAUGCAAGUCGAACGGGAAAGCUCUCUUCGGGGAGCAAGUACAGUGGCGAACGGGUGAGUAACACGUGAGUAACCUACCCCCUGGAGCGGAACAACCAUCCGAAAGGAAGGCUAAUACCGCAUGAUGUUGCCUUGAUCAGUUUCUUGGCAACCAAAAGAGGGCCUCUUUACAAUGCUUUCGCCGGGGGAUGGGCUCGCGGCCUAUUAGCUUGUUGGUGAGGUAACGGCUCACCAAGGCAAUGAUGGGUAGCCGGCCUAAGAGGGUGAUCGGCCACACUGGGACUGCGACACGGCCCAGACUCCUACGGGAGGCAGCAGUGAGGAAUUUUGCGCAAUGGGCGAAAGCCUGACGCAGCAACGCCGCGUGAGUGAUGAAGCUCUUUGGAGUGUAAAGCUCUGUCAGUGGGGAAUAAAAGGGUGUUUAUGAACAAUAAGCAUUCUUGACGGUACCCACAGAGGAAGCCCCGGCUAACUCCGUGCCAGCAGCCGCGGUAAUACGGAGGGGGCAAGCGUUGUUCGGAAUUACUGGGCGUAAAGGGCGCGUAGGUGGUUUGGCAAGUCGUCCGUUUAAUCCCUCGGCUUAACCGAGGUUCUGCGGUCGAUACUGCCUGACUUGAGUACGGGAGAGGAGAGUGGAAUUCCAUGUGUAGCGGUGAAAUGCGCAGAUAUAUGGAGGAACACCCGUGGCGAAGGCGGCUCUCUGGACCGAUACUGACACUGAGGCGCGAAAGCGUGGGGGAGCAAACGGGAUUAG
RNAcentral lists this ribosomal RNA (800 nucleotides) under uncultured bacterium. RNAcentral's name for it is "bacterial SSU rRNA". It matches the Rfam family "Bacterial small subunit ribosomal RNA", at positions 8 to 781 of the family's 1533-position model. The record is from RNAcentral.